Molecule: transfer RNA, 67 nt
Filed under: Myrmica rubra
Lineage: Eukaryota; Metazoa; Arthropoda; Insecta; Hymenoptera; Formicidae
Also listed under: 1 other name
Description: tRNA-Leu
Rfam family: tRNA
About the family: Transfer RNA (tRNA) molecules are approximately 80 nucleotides in length. Their secondary structure includes four short double-helical elements and three loops (D, anti-codon, and T loops).
Source: RNAcentral
UUUAAUAUGGCAGAAUUAGUGCAAUGGACUUAAAUUCCUUAAAUAAAGAUUUUAUCUUUUAUUAAAA